This 259-nucleotide ribosomal RNA is filed under the name uncultured bacterium. Its description in RNAcentral is "partial 16S ribosomal RNA". It matches the Rfam family "Bacterial small subunit ribosomal RNA", at positions 96 to 353 of the family's 1533-position model. The record is from RNAcentral.
CGGCGGACGGGUGAGUAACGCGUGGGCAACCUGCCUCACACAGGGGGAUAACAGUUAGAAAUGACUGCUAAUACCGCAUAAGACCACAGCACCGCAUGGUGCAGGGGUAAAAACUCCGGUGGUAUGAGAUGGACCCGCGUCUGAUUAGUUAGUUGGUGGGGUAACGGCCUACCAAGGCGGCGAUCAGUAGCCGACCUGAGAGGGUGACCGGCCACAUUGGGACUGAGACACGGCCCAAACUCCUACGGGAGGCAGCAUG